RNAcentral lists this unclassified non-coding RNA (364 nucleotides) under Hevea brasiliensis (rubber tree). The record is from RNAcentral. Lineage: Eukaryota; Viridiplantae; Streptophyta; Magnoliopsida; Malpighiales; Euphorbiaceae.
CUCCUCCUCCCUAUUAUCAUUAUACUAGCGGGGAUAGUUGAGUAGCAGUAGCGACCUUUGAUGGAGCAAAUCAUCAUCAUCGCACCAUUAUCAACGUUGGUACAAGCAGCAGCCACCACCGCCGAAGAAAUAGAAGAAGAAGAUGACGAUGAUGAUGAAGGGGAUACAAGAGAUUUCUUCGACAACAUCAUCGUAGCAUUCGCGGUGAUAUCUACACAACGAAGAGCCGAAGAUAUUGGGGCCGUGGGGCGAUUGAGGGGAGAACAGGCUGAAGCUGCCCCCCCCGCCGACGGUAAAGCCAGAGUUGUUGGGCUCAUGUCUCUCUAAGUUUGCCUAACAGUCCCUACCAAAAAUAUAAGCAGUU